Molecule: small RNA, 159 nt
Filed under: Clostridiales bacterium
Lineage: Bacteria; Bacillati; Bacillota; Clostridia; Eubacteriales
Description: L10_leader
Rfam family: Ribosomal protein L10 leader
About the family: This family is a putative r-protein leader autoregulatory structure found in B. subtilis and other low-GC Gram-positive bacteria. It is located in the 5' untranslated regions of mRNAs encoding ribosomal proteins L10 and L12 (rplJ-rplL). A Rho-independent transcription terminator structure that is probably involved in regulation is included at the 3' end.
Source: RNAcentral
UAAUAAAGCUGUUUUUAUUCAAAGACAGCAGGUGCAUUUUGCAUAAAGGGGAAUCCCACCUGCCGAGGAUAAAGCAAAUACGUUUGUUUAUACAAUUUGUAUAAAAUGUAAAUUUGCCUUCUCCGCGGUUAACGUGGAGAAGGCUUUUUGUAUAAUGCG